Molecule: transfer RNA, 73 nt
Filed under: Pteropus alecto (black flying fox)
Lineage: Eukaryota; Metazoa; Chordata; Mammalia; Chiroptera; Pteropodidae
Rfam family: tRNA
About the family: Transfer RNA (tRNA) molecules are approximately 80 nucleotides in length. Their secondary structure includes four short double-helical elements and three loops (D, anti-codon, and T loops). Further hydrogen bonds mediate the characteristic L-shaped molecular structure. tRNAs have two regions of fundamental functional importance: the anti-codon, which is responsible for specific mRNA codon recognition, and the 3' end, to which the tRNAs corresponding amino acid is attached (by aminoacyl-tRNA synthetases). tRNAs cope with the degeneracy of the genetic code in two manners: having more than one tRNA (with a specific anti-codon) for a particular amino acid; and 'wobble' base-pairing, i.e. permitting non-standard base-pairing at the 3rd anti-codon position.
Source: Rfam by way of RNAcentral
GGUUCCAUAGUGUAGUGGUUAGCACAUCUGCUUUACACGCAGAAGGUCCUGGGUUUGAGCCUCAGUGGACCCA